This is an RNA transcript of Topomyia yanbarensis, 6513 nucleotides long. It is a transcript of the gene named semaphorin-1A, with no coding region annotated. NCBI's taxonomy places the organism in Eukaryota, Metazoa, Arthropoda, Insecta, Diptera, Culicidae. The transcript is spliced from 8 exons. The record is from RefSeq and is a predicted model, not a curated record.
GAGCCAGUCAGUAUCGAGUCAACGCUUUAUGUGGGUUGUAUCUUGUUUUCGUGUCGGUCGGCCUUUUGUAAUUAAUUCAGUUUAUACGGUACUCUAAUGGUUUAACCAUUUGUCAAGUGAAAUAAACUUACUUUUGAUAAAGCAUAUUAAUUUUACUAGUUCAGUUGUGAAUUAAUUGUAAUGUUUCCGUGCAUUUUGUAUGUCCAGAAAGUUAAACAGCAUACAUGAAACAAAAUACAUUACGAAGGAUACCGCAAAGGAGAAAGGAAAACAACCCUCACAGUAAUCUAGCAAAGCAACCGAAAUGAUGAUUAUGGUUGAAAGAGAUUGAAAAGAUACAAAAAGUGAAGAAAAAAUGACGAAGUUUGUGUUUGUACGCUGAAGCGCAGGAAAUUUGUAUGCUUGAAACAUAAUAAAUUGAUUCAAACAUGCGCACCUGAAGUAAAAAGUGAAUUAAAUUCAAAUACGCACCUUCUGACUAGAGGGCGGCAAGAAGUGGUAAAUAAUUGCACAAACCGCUUAGUGAAUGUGUAUACUUUCUAGUUAGUUAAACCAAGUGAAAGUGUUUUUAGUCCAACUGUUGAAUUAUUGUACCAUUUUGGAUGUUCAUUGUUGUCGGUUUAGUGCUGUUUUCCUCGUGGAUCUAAUAACAAUAAUAAAUUCGUUGGCGGUCACUGGAUACUGCGUGGAAAACUACUUUGAUACUUCAACACCUGUUUUAUAGCACAAACAGAUAAUGUCAAACCUGUCAAGAAACAGAUGAUGCUAUUGACCAGCUGUAACAGCCUCGAGCAAACAGUGUUUUGAAGAAAAGUAUCCCACCAGCAGGGCGAUCAGGUUUAUAGUAAUUAACAGUGAUCAAUUAAGCAUCGGAAACGUACACAAAAGUAGAUCACUGCUCGUAACUCGCACACGAGAUGCCCGCGACUCCGACAGUUUGCCUGCUAGCUGUUGAAAUAACACACUUUCUACUGUGGGGGCCAAUAAACUAAUGACAAGUGCAAUCGUGUAUAAUUAGGUAGAUGAUAAUACGCCUUCGUAGCGGCGAAGCUAACAAAAAUGUAUCAAGUGUGAUAUUGAGUGCAUUCACCCCAGGUGAACGCGGUCGCCAAGCGAACAAAAAGAAUAAUCAACUUUAGGAGAACAUAUUUUCUGUAAGGAUUCCUCUUCACUAUAAAACAGCAAAAUGGAAACGGACAGCACGGUAGCGACGCUACGGCAACACCUGCACCGAUUCGUGAUCGUCCUGAUAGUGAUAGUUAGCUGCUUUUUAGAUAGGAUUGACAGUUGGACGCCAGAUGCCCUGACCAAAUCGAAAAUUACGUAUGAUAACACGAUACCAGCCUUUUUCGGCAACAGCACUGAUUACUUUAAGCUGCUCGAUCAGGACGACAAUUCGAUACUGAUCGGGGCGCGGAAUGCGUUGUACAACAUCAGUCUCGAUCGGUUGAUUGAGAACACGAGCCAGCGAGUGAUAUGGAGCUCGUCGGAUGCACACCGGGAACUGUGCACGCUCAAGGGCAAACUGGACCAGGAUUGUCAGAACUAUAUCCGCGUGUAUGCGCGGGUAGGGGCCAAUAGGAUUAUGCUGUGCGGGACUAACUCGUACAAGCCGUUGUGUCGUUACUACAACAUACUUCCCAGCGAUGGGACCAUAGCGUAUGAUAGCAACGAAAUGGAAGCGCUCGGACGGUGUCCGUAUAAUCCGCUUCACAACAGCACUUAUGUUUAUACAGAUGGUCACCUAUACUCGGCGACGGUAGCUGAUUUCUCGGGCGCAGAUCCGUUAAUCUACCGAGAGCCACAACGGACGGAACAGUACGACAGUAAACAGCUGAAUCAACCGGCAUUUGUAAGUGCUGUGGAACACAACGGAUAUGUGUUGUUCUUUUUCCGUGAGGUCGCCGUUGAGUACAUGAACUGUGGCAAGGCGAUUUACUCCCGUGUUAGCCGGGUCUGCAAGAAUGACAAAGGAGGACCACAUCCGCUGAACGAUAAGUGGACGUCGUUCCUAAAGGCGCGAUUGAACUGUUCUAUUCCUGGGGAAUAUCCGUUCUACUUUGACGAAAUUCAAUCUACCACGAAAACCAUCAACGGCAUCUACGGAGGUGGAAUGAACCAGAUUAUCUACGUGAUCAUGACCACUCCAGAGAAUGCGAUCGGUGGUUCGGCCGUCUGUGCCUUCUCCAUCCAGGAUAUUUUGGACACGUUUGAAGGUCCGUUCAAAUCACAGCGCGACAGCCACUCCAACUGGCUGCAGGUACCCCAGAGCCAGGUACCGGAACCACGUCCAGGAAAGUGUGUUGACGAUAGCCGAACAUUGCCGAAAGCAUCGGUUAACUUCGUCAAAAUGAACACCCUGAUGGACUCGUCUGUGCAUUCUCUACACUCACGACCAGUUUUCACUCGUGUCAGUUUACUGUACCGGCUAUCGGCAAUCACUGUCGAUCCACAGGUGAAAGCUCUCGAUGGCAAGACGUACGAUGUAAUUUUCGUUGGAACAAACGAUGGAAAGGUUAUCAAAUUCGUUAACAUUUUAUCGUCUAACUCGACGGAGGAUGUAAAAACGGUCGUCAUCAGCGAAACGCAGGCUUUCCCCUUAGGGAAUAAAGUCAACGAGAUGACUAUUUCUAAGAAGAACAAAAAGUUGAUAGUGAUAAGCAAUGGGAAAAUUAUAUCGCUCCCAUUGAGUAAUUGCAACGAGCACGAGUUCAAAUCCUGUCGCAAAUGUUUGGAACUGCAAGAUCCCUACUGCGCUUGGGAUGAUGUUAAUCGGGAAUGCCGCGCCAUAGAAGAGAUACACACCAACAGUUAUUCUAUCGAGAACCUGUACCAGCGGUUGGAUGGAUCUAAAGUAAACGAAAUUUGCAAAAAGUACGACCAACGUGACCAGCGGCAGCACAAUGCGGAGGAUAACGACGUAUACACGCGCGUCGAUGGAUCGGGCAGUGCCGAGAAGGAGAAGCCCAGCGAAGCGAAAAACGUAGUCAUCAUACAGUCCACCCGGGGAACGGUGUCCGCGGUCGGUCCAAUCGAUAUAGAUAAUGAGAUAUCCAUGACCUCGAUCGAAGGAAGCGAGUUGACAAACAAAAUCGGUCCCCACCAGUACCAUCAUAAAAUAGAUCCCUUCGUAAAGGAAGACGUCUCGGUAGCCUCGCUAGGAUGGAAAUUCUACAUUAUUCUAGUAGUUUUUUCGCUCGUCAUUGGAAUACUACUUGGUUUUCUCAUUACUCGCCAGAUGAUCAAAAGGCAGUCCUUUCACGGCAGCAGUGAACAUCGAAACCAGUUGAAUUGGCACCACGCUAAGAAUCUGAGCAUGCUGUCUCAGAAUCGAACCAGCGGGAAGGACGUCAAUCUACUAAUGAACACUACCAAUCAGUAUCAUACGCAGCAUCAAGCAAUCGUUCAGCAGCUGCAACAGCAGCAAAAUAACAUGAAAGACAAUAUCGAUUUUGACUUCAAGGAUCGAAGCGUCGAGUGCAAAAAUUCAACGGAAAAUCUGGAAAAGGACAUCAGCAAAGGCAUGGGCACCCUGCAGAAGGUGAAGAAGACGUAUAUUUGAUAGUAAGACUGACUGCUUUCGGUGAUUGGGACAAAAUAACCGCUCGCUGUGCUAGUGCGCAACCCCUCCCGCAACCCAUACAUACACACACUUUUCGAUAUUUCGACCGCCACUCAAGAUCUUCACCAGUUGGAUUCGUCAAAAUUAUCUCUUCUUCUUCUGCCUGUGGAACGUUUCUUCUUCUUCAACUAAAGCACAUUAAGGUACAGACUCGACAGUUGAAGACAUUCAAGCCUUAGAAGAAUUGUGAGUAAAUUCAAAGAGCUACAAAUGUAAUUUGUAACUUUCUUAGCAUUGCGUGAGAGAAGCACCGGGACGGAAAAAAUGUGUGUACAGGAAGAAUAUUAUAGUGAGAGACUGCGUGCCUAGCACAACCCAUUCCCUGCCUAGCCAACCACAGUUGGCCUAUUCAGAAAUGGAGGCCUUACAGUAGUAGAACAAACCACGUGCCCAUUCUGCACAGAAACGUGCGCAAAUGACAGGAAAUGCCUUAGUGAUAAUUGUAAUGUCAUUAUCACUGAUGAACCCCAAUAGCAUAGUAGGCCGACAGCCAUUCGGGAACCUUACUCGGAAGCCAUCGUAUGCUUCGAUUCCCAGAAAAAUGUCAAUACAAUGCCUUACAUGAGUAAGCAACCCUCGCCGAGGGCACUAGCUUAUUACGACACGAACGAUCAAAUUUCCAGUAUCUGUUAGGAAAACAAACCUCUUAUAAUUACGAGUGGUACAGCAGGUUGGGCACCAAAUUCUUAGCUGCAUGCAUUUUCUCUGCGAGGUGUCAAAAAUGGGAUGUGUUUUGUUAAAAUUGUUGAAAAAUGGUUCUUCCAACCGAAACAAAAACAAAUUGGCAACAUUUAAAGGUGCGUUCGACUCGAAAACAAACCAAGCCAAGCUUGGUUGCUUUCGUCACAUUUACUAGGUUAAGUUUGUGAUGUGAUCGUUUUCGUGUGCGGCUAAAAGUUUGGGGUCAGCUCCAAUUGUACAAACACUCAUUCAUCUUUCAUUACAUUAAUGAUCUAGCGAAUAGCCCGUACAGUUUUAGGCUUAGUAAUCUUCGUUUUUUAGUUAACAACAAAUGUUUUACAAUAGCGGAAGUAUUUCUCAGUAAAUCGACAGUCAUGACAGGACAGGACCCCGUUCCCUCUUAAGGGAUUACACCGCUGUAGAAUAUGGAAAAAGAUUCUGUAAAAUGGUAUUUUCAAUACUAAAUAUGAAGUACAAAAAACAGUAAUUUAAUCACAAAUUGCGGCUAUGCAGCAUUUUUCCGCUGGUUCGUUUAUUCAAUGGGGUCCACGUGACCGGAAAUCUUAGUUUUUUUUUAAUUUUCAAAAAGCCAAUGUUUUUGCGGUUUACAAAUAUCCAAACGGUUUCGUGCCGCCUUCCUCUUUUUGAAACCCUAAAGCAAGCAUGGGGAAAAUCGCAUCGUGAACAGAUCGUUCGCGCUUCGCAAGCAAGCUUUCUUCAGUUGCGAUGCAUUCUGUUAGCUUCGAAAAUGAUACCUAGCAACCUGUCGUUACGGACACAUGCGAUUCAAAGCUAUAACAACCAACGAAGAAGCACAUCAGUUGUGUUUUAAUUCUUUCCUUCCCCAACGCGGAUGGCUUCGUUCGCGAAGCUCUUCUCGAGCGGUUCGCGGUUUGCAUAGGAUUUUCAUUAUACAGUUUUAUUUCAUUUUCAUAUUCGCACAAUAUAAUUAAUACUUGGAAAACCAUAUACCAUUUUAAAACUAGCUGAUAAUAUUAAAAAUUUGCAACAAUGCACUGCUAACAAAUAGGCCGCAAGGAACUUCAGUAGAUCAAAUUGCUAGUAGUGUAUCACAAAACUACCCAUAACGCGAUCUGUCAGCAAAAAAUCCAGUGCAAAAAUAGGUACUAUGUUUUAAUCAUGCAUGAAGAAACCUUUGUGAGCUUCGCGAAGCUACGUGACAAACAUUCACGAGCGAAGAAUUGACGCUGCUCUUAAAUUUUUUAAGCUUCACUUUUUAUUCGCAGUUUGCCCAUCUAGUGACCUGCUCUGAAGUUAUUAGACUUCUCCCUUCGUGCGUUGAUUAUGGUUAAUUAGUGAGCACAAAAUUUUGACUACUUUGUGAUCCACAGUUAGAAACAGUCGCGCGAGUGAACGAAUUUUCCCAUGCCUGCCCUAAAGCAAAUUUUAGGCGAACCUAAAAAUUCGAUUUUUGAAAAUUCUACAGUGGGGUAACUCCUUAAAGAAAAACAAUUACGAUAUCGAUUAUAUUUUUAUUAUGCACAUUUUAUUUUAAUUGCUCAAGAAUCUCAAGCGAAAAUACUCCGAAAUGUAUGCUGAACGCGAAUCGAAUGGCAAUUGUGCAUGUAUUUUCUGUAGGCAUUUUAUUUAAGGUUACGUUUGUUUAGUGCAAGCAUCCCACCCUGGUAAAGGAAAAAGCAAUAUGCAUUUUGACCAUCGUCAUCCAUCCAUUUAGGCCACAGAUUACGUGACAUUUUUUCGGUUUACGUCGACUAGUUUGUUCAAAUCAUCAUGUUUCGCAAAAUUAGGCUAUGUAAUGUCACCUGAGAACAGAUUUUUAUAUAUUUAUGCUUAGUUAAAUACGAACAAAAAAUGUGAUAAACUUGAGUAUUUUUUAUUUUGUAUUGUUGUAGAACAGAUCUACGGCUUCUUUUUACCUCUAGGGUAAAUUAGGUGUAGACACCAUCAUUUCUAGAAUAUUUCAUCAUAAAAAUGAAGUGUGAAUGAAAAAUGUUGAUAGUUAAAUACUAUGAAAUGCUUGUACUCGUUGAAGCAUGGUCGAACAACACAAUUGUAUCUUUUUUAGGAUAUUUAAUUUCAUGUUUUAGGUUAGUUUCAAAAUAAAAUGACGUAAUUUAUCCGACACAGAGUAUGUGAGAAUUGAGAGUGGCAAAAGUAUGUAAAAUUGUUAUAAUUGUAAAUAUUUGAUUAAGAACAUUUACAGAGAAAUAAAUAUAUAGAAAAGUAAA